Molecule: ribosomal RNA, 534 nt
Filed under: uncultured Acidobacteriota bacterium
Lineage: Bacteria; Pseudomonadati; Acidobacteriota
Description: bacterial SSU rRNA
Rfam family: Bacterial small subunit ribosomal RNA
Source: RNAcentral
AGAGUUUGAUCCUGGCUCAGAAUCAACGCUGGCGGCGUGCCUAACACAUGCAAGUCGAACGCGAAAGCCCCGCAAGGGGUAAGUAGAGUGGCAAACGGGUGAGUAACACGUGGGUGACCUGCCUUCGAGUGGGGGAUAACGUCCCGAAAGGGACGCUAAUACCGCAUAACAUCCUGCCUUUGAAGAGGUGGAGAUCAAAGCUGGGGACCGCAAGGCCUAGCGCUCAAAGAGGGGCCCGCGCCUGAUUAGCUAGUUGGUGGGGUAAUGGCUCACCAAGGCAACGAUCAGUAUCCGGCCUGAGAGGGCGGACGGACACACUGGGACUGAGACACGGCCCAGACUCCUACGGGAGGCAGCAGUGGGGAAUUGUUCGCAAUGGGCGCAAGCCUGACGACGCAACGCCGCGUGGAGGAUGAAGACCUUCGGGUCGUAAACUCCUUUCGAUCGAGACGAACAGCUUCCGGGUGAACAAUCCGGAGGUUUGACGGUACCGAGAGAAGAAGCCCGGCUAACUUCGUGCCAGCAGCCGCGGUA